RNAcentral lists this ribosomal RNA (493 nucleotides) under uncultured bacterium. RNAcentral describes it as "bacterial SSU rRNA". It matches the Rfam family "Bacterial small subunit ribosomal RNA", at positions 16 to 507 of the family's 1533-position model. The record is from RNAcentral.
AUCCUGGCUCAGAUGACGCUGGCGGCGUGGAUUAGGCAUGCAAGUCGAACGCGAAAGUUUCCUUCGGGGAACGAGUAGAGUGGCGAAAGGGUGAGUAAUGCUUGGAUGACCUGCCCUCGAGACGGGGACAACAGUUCGAAAGGACUGCUAAUACCCGAUAGUCCGAUCUGGAUGCGUCCAGAUCGGUAAAUGGUGCUUCCGCUCGAGGAGGGGUUCAAGUCCUAUCAGCUUGUUGGUGAGGUAACGGCUCACCAAGGCGAUGACGGGUAGCCGGACUGAGAGGUUGGCCGGCCACAUGGGAACUGAGACACUGUCCUGACUCCUACGGGAGGCUGCAGUCGAGAAUCUUCUGCAAUGGGCGAAAGCCUGACAGAGCGACGCCGCGUGGAGGAUGAAGGCCCUCGGGUCGUAAACUCCUGUCACAUGUUAUGAAACGUACGGGUCUACCCGUGCGCUGACAAAAGCAUGAGAGGAAGUCACGGCUAACUUCGUG